Molecule: ribosomal RNA, 660 nt
Filed under: Hepatozoon sp.
Lineage: Eukaryota; Apicomplexa; Hepatozoidae
Description: SSU rRNA
Rfam family: Eukaryotic small subunit ribosomal RNA
Source: RNAcentral
AUACAUUGAGCAAAAUCUCAACUGUUUUAGAAGAGAAGCAUUUAUUAGAUAAAAAACCAAUAUAUGUUUUUAAAGCAUAAAAAUUGGUGAUGUACAAUAACUAAGCAAAUCGCACAGUGCAAACUGGCGAUAAAUCAUUCAAGUUUCUGACCUAUCAGCUUUCGACGGUAAGGUAUUGGCUUACCGUGGCAGUGACGGUUAACGGGGAAUUAGGGUUCAAUUCCGGAGAGGGAGCCUGAGAAACGGCUACCACAUCUAAGGAAGGCAGCAGGCGCGCAAAUUACCCAAUUCUAACAGCAUAAGAGAGGUAGUGACAAGAAAUAACAGUACAAGGCAGUUAAAAUGCUUUGUAAUUGGAAUGAUAGAAAUUUAAAUACUUUUUAAAGUAUCAAUUGGAGGGCAAGUCUGGUGCCAGCAGCCGCGGUAAUUCCAGCUCCAAUAGCGUAUAUUAAAAUUGUUGCAGUUAAAAAGCUCGUAGUUGAAUUUUUGUUAGAAAUAACCGGUCUGCUUUUAUUAAUAAAAGUGGUAUCUUGGUGUGUUUUUAGCAAUAAUGUCCUUUGAAAUGUUUUUUACUUUAUUGUAAAAAGCAAUUUUCAGGAUUUUUACUUUGAGAAAAUUAGAGUGUUUCAAGCAGGCUAACGUUUUGAAUACUGCAGCAUG